Gekko japonicus is the source of this 72-nucleotide non-coding RNA. The record is from the annotation of a RefSeq genome assembly. Lineage: Eukaryota; Metazoa; Chordata; Lepidosauria; Squamata; Gekkonidae.
AGGGCUGUGGCUCAGUGGCAGAGCAUCUGCUUCGCGUGCAGAAGGUCCCAGGUUCGAACCCUAGCAUCUCCA